CUUCUGGGCCUCUCCUUGUUAGGGGGGAAAGCCAGGGACCGACUGAGGGACCCUGGGUGGGUGGGGUUUGGGCAGAGGCCAGGCAGUGAGGCUCAGAGCAGCACCAGCCGGCUCUCCCCGGCCUGCGGUAGGAUGGGAGAAAGAGCUGCAUCGGAGGGGACUUCCCCGAAGAUCGCCAGGCUCGGGGGAGAAAAGGUAGACACAGUGUCAGCCCAGCAGACCAGACCCAGAGACUGUCCUGUCUCAGGGCCCCAGCCCCCCUGCUGCAGAGAUGGGCAGCGGACCCUGCAGGGCGUGGGCCCUUAGAGCCUGAGGCCUUCUGGGCUGGGACCUGCUUGUCAAGGCCUGGAGGGGGUGACUGGGCAGGGACUCUUUCUGAUGGCAGCCUGGGCCUGCAGACUCCCCAGGACCCCUGCUCUGGCCCCACAUCCUGCAGGCCCUGGCAUGAAUGGUGCCAGGAAUGCUGUGUUCUGGGCCCAGUGGGCUAGCCCUGUUGCCUGCCCACUCCAGAGACAGGCACAGUUCUGCCGCCAGAGCAGGCACAGGCUUCCAGAAGGUUAUUCCCCACGGAGGCCCUACUGCCCCCGCCCAGGAGACCUAUGUUAUAUAUUUAGAAGCAUUUCUGGAUGACUGACCUCGAGCUGCAGACGUUCAAACCCUUGGUAAUGAGUAACCGGCAGUUAACGACUUUUCCACAGAGAAAAGAGGCACAUUGAAACCCGAAGGGACGCCGGCAAGACAUUCCAUGUUGUAGAAGAAGUUCUCUCAAAUUCCCUCAUGUCGCCAAACGGAAAGGCAGAGCAGCCUGUCUCCCAGGCCAGACUAAGGUCCUGUCCGGUAAACACGCAGAGGGAGAGGAUCUGGGCUAGAAAUCUUGCUCUGAAGGAGACGAAGCUUGCGGCCCGACUCUAGGGCCCAACAGCUCAGCUGCUCAGCCAAAGGCUCUGCGAUCUGGCUUCCCAAAGCAGCAGCGUCACAAAUCACGACCCCCUCUCCCCACCUUGCACUUGAGCCAGCAGUGACACCCCCCCUUCUAGGGGACUGUGGGAAAUGUGACCUUGGCCUUGGUCCUUGAGCACCGGCCCUGCAGAAGCAGCUUUGGAAUGUUGGGCCCCGUGGACCACCAGAGGAUUCCCACAUACUCUCUUUUCCUCUCCCCAUGUGUUCUGCCUUCAGUCUCUUCCUGAAGGCACUUGAGAUGCAGGCAACGCUGCAUGAGUGUUGGACAGAGGCGAGCUCAGAAACCGGUAAGAAAACCAGGUGUAGGGGCGCCUGGGUGGCUCAGU
This is a long non-coding RNA of Lutra lutra (Eurasian river otter), 1286 nucleotides long. RefSeq lists it as uncharacterized. The transcript is spliced from 4 exons. The record is from RefSeq and is a predicted model, not a curated record. NCBI's taxonomy places the organism in Eukaryota, Metazoa, Chordata, Mammalia, Carnivora, Mustelidae.